Small nucleolar RNA from Meriones unguiculatus (Mongolian gerbil), 132 nucleotides. Lineage: Eukaryota; Metazoa; Chordata; Mammalia; Rodentia; Muridae. The record is from Ensembl.
GGCCAAGGUGAUUCCCUCUCCAAGUGGCUGACCAUGUCCCUUUCAGGAACAUAGCAACUUGAAAGAAAACCAAACAUGCCUGGUGAACAAGAGAUACUUGUUUCCCUUGCCUUCCUUUGGUUGUAUAAAAAA